AGUCUGCUGCACACUCUUCCCACCUCCUAAGAGACUGGUCAUAGGCUACAGAUAUCCCAGGCAGGACAUGAGGGGAGACAAGCCCAAUGUCCUGCUGCCUGAGGCCUAGGUCCCAGAAGCAGGAAGCCUGUGCCUGUGUCACAUAGAGAAUUAAAAGUCUCUGAUGAUCCUGUUCUUCUUCUAGACAGGCAGUCCACCAUGGGGGCUGGUUCUUAGCAUAACCACCUGACCUGCCCCCAGGCCACCAGAGGGUGCCAUCCUCGAAACACCUCCCCAGUGGCAUGCAUGGAGGCGGACAGGACCUGUCGGGAGGGAGCAGGCUGAUUCUGAGGCUCUUCACUCCUUUCCAUGCUGACCGCAGAUCCACCCCCAACCUCAGAAAGAAGGUCAAAUGAAGACCUGACUCGCUGCAGGAAACCAGCCAUGCCUCUAACCUUGGCUUUGCCCUUGGCUUCCUGCCUGCCCCAAGAACACCCCUGACUGUUCUCCAGUGCAUCUCGAUUCUACCAUAGCCUGGGGAGACAGCCAAGCUCUUUGCCAUGGCAUCGGCCUCCCUUUCCCUUUUGUUGGAGAAAGAAAAAAACGAAGGAAAGAUGAGCAACAUCUCUCUCCCCGCCAUCUCCUCAUUCUCUUCCUCAGUUUCUUACGAGUGAAAUCACCCAAGAUAUAAAUAACACAUUCUAAAUAAAGCCAUGUUUGACUGCAGCACAAGACAUAUCUGUGUACGCAUGUGACUGUCAGCCUCCAGUGGAAGUCAUGUUUGUGUAAUUAAUUUUCCUAGCAUCCGAGGAAAGAGACAGGCAGUCCUGUGGUCCGCCCUGCCCUGCUGCUCCCCAAACACUGAGAGAACGCUGCGCUUCGCUCUCGCCGAGUGACUGGUGCGCAGGGAUGGCUUUUGUUCCCAUGCAGUUCCUGUGCUUGGGACCUUUAUUUCUCAAUUACUGCAGAUGGAAAGAAAGGCUUCGAGGCUGUCUUUGUAAGAGUGGGUUUCUAAGUCAGUGGUGACGAUUUGCUGGGCUGGGGUGAUGAUCAGAGGGUAAAGUACUUACUGUUCCUGAAGACCUGCGUUCAGUUUCCAGCAGUCACAGACACACAGAGAACAGCACGUCAGUAGCCCCGGUGCUAGGCAAAGGAGAGAGUGGAUCCCAGAGACUUGCUAGCCAGCCGGUUCAAUGAAACAGGAGAGCUCCAGGCUCAGCGACACAUCCUGUCUUAAAAGAUGUAAGUUGGCAAGUGAUGGAAGACCCGUGAAGUGGCCUGCACACAUGCAAGCAUGGAUGUGUACCCCCUCACCCCACACAAGACAGCAAACCAUGUUGAAUGAUGCCGUUCCUUAGCAUGCCUCCUGCUCCUUCAACAACAUGCAUGAUUUUUGCUGCGGAAGCCAUCCUUUAGUAGGAGAGCGUCAUCUGGACAUAAACUCGCCUGUUUUUAUUUAAUUUGGAUUUUUGAGACAGAGUUUCUCUGUGUAGGCCUAAUGAUCCUGGAACCCACUCUGUAGACCAGGCUAGCCUUGAACUGUCCACUGUGGAGUAAAAAACUGGGUUCUCAUGUCGGCUUGGGGCUAGGGCCGCUGGGCGAGUUGGACACAGGAAGUUUGACUGUGCUGCAGACCCCACGGAACAGCCGGGCAGGCAUUGGACUGUGAGAAGCCAUGGGAUCACGCUUCGGGGGUGAGGAAAAGGCGCAGUCUGGGGUCCCCAUGGAACUGCAGGAGUCAGGCUCUGACUCUCGGGCACCACAGACUGCUUGGCACCGCGGACGAGCUGGUUUUGGGUCCUUGAGCCACAUGGAGGCCAGGGAUGACAGGUUCUCACUCUUGGACAUCUCAGAUGCCACUACUUUACAUAGAUCUGAAUUCUUCAUGUGUACCAUGGUCUUUCUACCAGAAGAAUUUUUAGUAUUUCUUGCAGGAAGUCUCAUGAUCUUGGAAAACUCAGGUGACAGCAGAUGCUGGCGAGGAUGUGGAGAAACAGGAACACUCCUCCAUUGCUGGUGGGAAUGCAAACUGGUACAACCAUUCUGGAAAGCAGUCUGGCGGUUCCUCAGAAAUUUGGACAUAGUACUACUGGUGGAUCCAGCAAUUCCAUUUCUGGGCAUAUACCCAGAAGAUGUUCCAACUUGUAAUAAGGACACAUGCUCCACUAUGUUCAUAGCAGCCUUAUUUAUAAUAGCCAGAAGCUGGAAAGAACACAGAUGUCCAUCAACAGAGGAAUGGAUACAAAAAAUGUGGUACAUUUACACAAUAGAGUACUAUUCAGCUAUUAAAAACAAUGACUUCAUGAAAUUCCUAGGCAAAUGAGUGGAUCUGGAGGAUAUCAUCCUUAGUGAGGUAACCCAAUCACAAAAGAACACACAUGAUAUGCACUCACUGAUAAGUGGAUAUUAGCCCAGAAACUAGAAUACCCAAGAUACAAUUUUCAAAACACAUGAAACUCGAGAAGAAGGAAGACCAAAGUGUGAAUAUUUCAUUCCUUCUUAGAAUGGGGAACAAAAUACCCAUGGAAGGAGCUAUAGAGACAAAGUUUGGAGCUGAGAUGGAAGGAAGGACCAUCCAGAGACUGCCCCACCUGGGGAUCCAUCCCAUAAACAACCACCAAACCCAGACACUAUUACAUAUGCCAGCAAGAUUUUGCUGAUAGGACCCUGAUAUAGCUGUCUCCUGUGAGGUUAUGCCAGUGCCUGGCAAAUAUAGAAGUGGAUGCUCAUAGUCAUCUAUUAGAUGGAACACAGGGCCCCCAAUGAAGGAGCUAGAGAAAGUACCCAAGAAGCUAAAGGGGUCUGCAACCCUAUAGGAGGAACAACAAUAUGAACUAACCAGUACCCCCCCCCCCCCCCCCAGAGCUCGUGUCUCUAGCUGCAUAUGUAGCAGAGGAUGGCCUAGUCGGCCAUCAAUGGGAGGAGAGGCCCUUGGUCUUGCAAAGAUCAUAUGUCCCAGUACAGGGGAAUGCCAGGGCUAGGAAGUGGGAGUGGGUGGGUUGGGGAGCAGGGAGGGUAUAGGGGACUUUUGGGAUAACAUUUGAAAUGUAAAUGAAGAAAAUAUCUAAUAAAAAAAAGUUGUUUGAAAAGCAA
Molecule: long non-coding RNA, 3072 nt
Organism: Mus musculus (house mouse)
Lineage: Eukaryota; Metazoa; Chordata; Mammalia; Rodentia; Muridae
Product: predicted gene, 30866
Exons: 5
Source: RefSeq, a predicted model, not a curated record